RNAcentral lists this ribosomal RNA (492 nucleotides) under uncultured bacterium. RNAcentral describes it as "partial 16S ribosomal RNA". It matches the Rfam family "Bacterial small subunit ribosomal RNA", at positions 29 to 507 of the family's 1533-position model. The record is from RNAcentral.
AGUGAACGCUGGCGGUAGGCCUAACACAUGCAAGUCGAACGGCAGCACAGUAAGAGCUUGCUCUUACGGGUGGCGAGUGGCGGACGGGUGAGGAAUACAUCGGAAUCUACUUUUUCGUGGGGGAUAACGUAGGGAAACUUACGCUAAUACCGCAUACGGCCUACGGGUGAAAGCAGGGGAUCUUCGGACCUUGCGCGAUUGAAUGAGCCGAUGUCGGAUUAGCUAGUUGGCGGGGUAAAGGCCCACCAAGGCGACGAUCCGUAGCUGGUCUGAGAGGAUGAUCAGCCACACUGGAACUGAGACACGGUCCAGACCCCUACGGGAGGCAGCAGUGGGGAAUAUUGGACAAUGGGCGCAAGCCUGAUCCAGCCAUACCGCGUGGGUGAAGAAGGCCUUCGGGUUGUAAAGCCCUUUUGUUGGGAAAGAAAAGCAGCAGGUUAAUACCCCGCUGUUCUGACGGUACCCAAAGAGUAAGCACCGGCUAACUUCGUG